GGGGUGGAGCCUGGCUCUACCUCUCCUAGACCUAUUUAAGAGCUGGCUACCAAGGGGGAAGGAUCUCUUCUGGAGAUUGUGUCUGUUGGUGUUUUGUGAGUGAGCCCAAGAUAGGGGCACUUAAGUUUGAAUAGAGUGCUGAAGAGAGAAACUGAUUCUAAUGCCAACUCAACUUGAAAAGAAUCUCAGCAUCAGAUUGUCUUUGCUACUCUGGAUACUCUGAAGCACAGCAGUUCACGGGAAAUGGAAAUCUCCAAAAUUAUUAGUCUUUGCUAGGAUCUGGAAAUAUUCAGGAACUCCUGCUCUUGGUGAAGAUAUGGAUGUGAUGAUGGAAGGACCUCCUGUGACCUGGCAGAAUGAAUGCCAUUAGAAAUUUCAGCUCUACAUUUCCUGGCAUGGGGUGACCUUUAAGCAGCUAUAGAGAGUAUUGGGGCAGACAGCAUAGAAAUACAAAUAAAUGAAAACUCUGAUGUAAACGUCAUUUUGCCAUUCUAGAAAAUUAUGCCUCCAUUGAAAUUGAAGUGAAUUGCUUCACUGUUAACUGAAGAGAGCCAAUUUUCUUUCCUCUUAUACUAAUAUAAUACAUUUCAAAUAAUAAACAAUAUUCAACACUAAAGAAUAACAGCAGAACAUUUGUUAAAAGCUUUCAUAGUUACUAUUUGUGUUGAUGUUUAUUUGUACCUUACUGGACCUUUGUAUAUUCCCUGAGUUUUAGAACAAUUUUCUUGAGAAAACCUUUGACAUCAACCCUUGAAUCAGUGUUAUGACAGUCUCCUUGAUUUCUUUGACAAGAAAGUGGACUAUAGCAUCUUCUAUCAAGCUAACCUGAAUCUUGUACUACACCUUGGCUUCAGUUUUCCCAAGAACUUUUUGCAUCCAACAUUAAUGGUAUCCAAACUAAAUGUCUUGACAGCAGAGCCCAACUUAGUUGACUGAAGAUGGGAUCAAAGUUCUUGAAAAAGAAUGACAUUUUGGAAAUGUUUUAUGGCGUUGAAAACUUGUUCUACUCUGAAAUGCGUGCUCAAGUCCUCCAUAUUUUGUCCUUAAAAAUGUUUUUUUUUGUUCUACUUUACUUGCUUGAAGUCCAUUACAGAAAGUAAUACAGAGUUUAAUGUUGGUGUUAGUCCUAUUAUCUCUUUCAAAGGGCUGAUUUUAUUACUAGUAUUGAGAUUACUGUGUGUUUUAUCAUUUCAAAAUCUUCUUUUGGUAGAGGGAGAAAAACAAACCUAUGCCAUCUUAAUGAAAAAUUUUUCCUUGAAGCAGACCAAAGUUAACAAUUCAAGUAACGGUAAUUCCAGCCCUCUGCUUUUGAUUUGUUUUGUGAUAGUAGGGAUAUCAGCAUGCAGUGAAUACACGAACAACAGAUUUUUGUGAUCAAAAUAUAGUUGGAAGGUUUUGUAUCAUUAGUUUCUCAGCAUAUUUUCAAUGGUACUUUUCACUGUAAAUUAUGUUGCUUGUUUGUUUUCAUAGCCAGAGCACUGCAAAAUAUUUCUGUGAUCAUUCUGAUGCAUAGCUUGUGAAGUCCCUGCAGCAAUGCAGCAAUAGCCACUGCUGCUACAUAGACUGCUACAGAUCUGCUUUGCGUUUGUAAUGUGUGCACACAGUCCAUUUGAACUGUUGCCAAAACUACCUCACAGUUCUACAGAAUGGCUCUUAAAUUAGGACUGUUCCACAGGUCUGCAGCAGUUUUCUUGUGAUGCCGAGUUAGUUGAUCCUUAUAGAGAUGAGAGUAAUCACUUACUGCAAACUGAGAUAAACUCUCCGCAGUAGCUGAAAGGAACAGCUUAGUUGUGCAAAGAAAUGUUGAUGACAUUUAUUUUUAAAACAAGAAUUUUACUUCUUAGCACUCCUAGGUAUGUAAAAUGUGUUCUCUAAUUUGGACUUUAUCAACAAGAAUAUUUGAGUAGAACACCUUCUAAAUAAUUCAGUUAUAUUUUACACACUUUGUCAUACUGUUAGUAGUAGUAACAUUGUUUCAAUUCAGAGAAUCACAUCUAAUAUUCUAGGAAGUAUAGCUGACAGUUACAAAAUAGAAGCUCUGUUCUAAAUUUUGAAUAACUGCAGAUAAUUUACACAUAAAUAGGAUGAUCUAGGAGAAUACUGUAAUGGAACAUUACUAAUAUUUUUUUAAAUGAAGAGUCUUGGCAUAUUUGCUUAUUUUCAACAUUUGCAAAUGUUAAUGUAUUUAUUAAUAUUUUAUUAGCAAUAUAAAAAUCAAAAUAGGUAAAUUAUAUGUAUAGUAAAUGGGAAUAUCAACUGUAGUGAAAGAAUAUUAUGUAGAUAAUUAGAUUGCAUGAACAACUAAGUCAUUAUCAGUAUGAGAUGUAACUGCCUACUACUUUUAUGGUCCAGCAUAAAGUAAGAAGAUAACAAGAAUAUGGAAUAAAUUGAAUAAAAAGAAAAUUGAAUAAAUAACAGUAGCAAAAUAGCAGAAAUUUUUAUAUAACGUAAAAAAAGGUCCAGCUGUCAGAAUACAAAGAACCAUUCCUAUGUAGACCUCAAUUAAGAAAAGAUUAAUCCAGAUUAACACCUAUUAGAUCCCAGUGUAAGUAAAAGGCGUAAUAUACUACACAUUUUACCUAUAUGCUACUGUUGUGUUUCCUGAAAUAAAAAUCCUAAAUCUAUUAAGAAAUGGCCUGAUAAAUAAAUAUUGGGUGUAAAUGGAAAAUAACACUGAACAUUUGCAGAACAUACGUGAUGUUGGGCAGUCCACAUGAGUAUGUCUUAUAUGUCUUACCGUAUAAGUUUUAUUUGCACUGUGAAGGAAUCCUCUUAUUUCAUCCAAGUGAAGAAUCCACAAUUCUAUCUUAGUGCAAUUCUGAACCUACAUUUCAGUUUAUAGAUAUGAAGAAGAUAACACAUUCUUGUAAGGACUGUGCUACUACAUCUACAUUUGUUUUUAUUUGUGUUACCACGACAACUUUGAUCAUGAAGGUAUUUCAGGGGUAGCUGUAUAUUUUCCUUCAUUAAUUAACUUAGAAAUGCAUUAUUUUACUGCAUUUAUACUUACUCCACUAGUAGAAAAACAAUAUCUUGAAAAAGUAGACCACAAAGAAAAUAGAAGUAUGUAUGCAAACUCUUUAAGAAGACUAGAAAAAGGACAUGUAGAAAUACAAGGUGAAUUGUGUCCACAUAAAACAUGAACAUUGGCAGAUUGCUUUUUCUUCUUGCCAGUAAAAAGUAAUUCUCAAAGUAAUGACUACUACUAGGUAGCUGGGCAAUUAUGUGUUUUUCUUCUGACUGUAAUUAUCAUGAAUAUCACUCUGGAUUUGUACAUUCUUCCACUGAUUUUUGAUCACAAAGUUAUUCUACCUGGUUUUUUUUGUUUGUUUUUGUUUUUUUUUUAGGAAAAGUAGUAGUAUUUACUGUUAUUAAAACAAAUUGAUAAAUAUUGUUGUGCUUAUAAUUCAAAAGUUAAUGAAUAUUUCUCUAUGUGAAAUGCUUAUGAAGAGAUCUGAUAUUUUCUUUUUUUAUUAUUAUUUUAAUAAAUCAGAAGAAGGAUCCAGGGACUGUACUUUUCUAUGUAUAUAUAUAUAUAUGUACAAAAAAAUUCAAUUAUU
Long non-coding RNA from Lagopus muta (rock ptarmigan), 3560 nucleotides. RefSeq lists it as uncharacterized. NCBI's taxonomy places the organism in Eukaryota, Metazoa, Chordata, Aves, Galliformes, Phasianidae. The record is from RefSeq and is a predicted model, not a curated record. The transcript has 5 exons.